RNAcentral lists this long non-coding RNA (1983 nucleotides) under Elaeis guineensis (African oil palm). RNAcentral describes it as "long non-coding RNA (EGUI_LNC006743)". The record is from RNAcentral. Lineage: Eukaryota; Viridiplantae; Streptophyta; Magnoliopsida; Arecales; Arecaceae.
UGGACCAAACAGCAUCAGCCAAUGCGCUCAAACUACCCCUGCUAAGUGGUGGACUUCACCUGCAUACAGUGAGUUGAAUGACAUGCAGAAGGGUCAGCUGAACUGGGUCAGACAGAACUUCAUGAUAUAUGAUUACUGCAAAGAUGCAAAGAAAUUCAAAGGGCAAGUCCACCCUGAGUGUUCUCUGCCACAAUUUUAAUGGAUGAUUUGAUUUUAUAAUGAAGUGGUUGUGAUGGUACAAGUGACAAGGUAAAUAAGCCUGUGUUGUUUUAGUUGAUUUCGUUCUUUAGCUGUGAACUGAAGAAUAAACAAUAUGAGGGUCUGUGUUCCAAGGAUGACCAGUAAUUCUCAAUUCUUAGGUCACAGGCCUAUUGUAUCCCUUUUCUCGGGAACCGAGUUUAAUUUUGAGUUUCACUUUGUAUCUGAUACAUUUUCUUGUUGCAUGAAAUAAGCAGCAUAUGAGCCGCAAGCAUUUAAGCAGUGUAUUAUUUUUUUUCGGUGUUCAAAGAAAAUAUUCUUUCAAUUUAUGAGUUCUUCCAUCCCAUGGACAGGAUUUCUUAAAACUAGGUAAUAUCGAGAUUAUGAGUGGAGAUGUUAAAAUCACAACAACCAAUAACAAUGACAGGAUAUAUUUACCUGCUUAAAAGACAGAGAUUUCUUAGAUUUCCUUCUUUGUAUUAAACAACCAAAAGAUGUAACAAUGAGAAGAUCAUGCAGGAAACGAUAUUAAGAUCAUCUGAGAUUUGGUGAGAAAAAGGCAAAUAUUGUAAUGUUCACACUUCAAAAUGUGCCAAGCAAAGAAAGUUAGAGGGGAGUAUUCUCUUGACAUGGAAAAGCAAAAUUCAAAGAGAAAAUAUUAGGAGGAAAAGGAGGAUCUUGAUUAAACCUAACAAGUGAAAUAUUCACAAUUCUUAUCUAUUUCUCCAUUGAAUUGCUUCCCCUUAUGUUUCUUGACAGCCGGAUAGCGUCUAGAGGGAAAAGGGGAAAAGAUCAGCCACCCAAAACUACACCCGGUGACACACUCCAUUUCAACAUGUGAGGCAACCAUAUCAAUACAUAUCUCAUGUAGCAAUAUUGGUUUAUGAUAGGAAUUAGAAUUAGAAUGGUUAGAAUCGGAAUCAAAAUGGCCAUAUCCUCUUAUGCAUUUAGUUCGUGAUCACAAUCAAAACCGGAAUUGGAAUGGGAUUUAAAUACUAGGAAAGAGCAGGAAUUGGAUUUUGCAGUAUUUGGAUGUCUUAUUUCUUCCUGAAACUGGAAUAGAAAUGGGAUUCUCUCCAAACAAACGGCUGGAAUAGGAGCCACUUAUUCCAUCCCUAUUCUAGAGUCCAACUCCUUCCAAUCAAAUAUUCAAAUUUCAAAAUUAUUCAAAUUCCUUACUUACAUAAAAGCCAAAAAAAAAAUCAUAUAAAAAAUCAGUUGGAUGUCUUUAUCUCAGGAGAGUAUAAUUAUGAUUAAACGUGGAUCAGGGAAUUAACUGCUUAGAAUAUAAAAACAUAUAGAUCAUAAUGCAAAAAGACUCACACAAACACUUAGGUGUCACUAAACCAGAAGCCAUUGUCUUUUAUUUGCAAGCAUUCAUUGCGACGGAAGACAUAUCUAUUUAGUACGUGAACGAGACAGGCGUGAAGAUUGAAUCUGAAGAAUAAAAAUGAAAAUAUUUAGGGAAUGAUGGAAGAAUAUAUACCUUAAACAACUACCAUAGAUCGCGUCCAAUAUAACGCCAGUGGGCUUCAAGAACUCCAUCAGAAAAAAAAAAAAAAAAAGGUAAAGAUUAGUUUUUGAUGCCGUAGAUUGAAGAAGGGAAGGGAAAAAAGGAGGCGGCUUUAGGAUUGGGGUGGGGAAGCAAUCGGUUGGGCGAAUGACGGAAAGGAUGGCGGACGAAAAACUUAGCCUGGAGGGAGUCUUCGCUGGAGGGAAGGCGGUGGAGAAGGCAGCGAUUUGUUGCGGGAGACGUGGGUCAUCGGUUCAGGUUGCCGACUCCGG